RNAcentral lists this transfer RNA (86 nucleotides) under Xylanibacillus composti. It matches the Rfam family "tRNA". From Rfam's summary of the family: Transfer RNA (tRNA) molecules are approximately 80 nucleotides in length. Their secondary structure includes four short double-helical elements and three loops (D, anti-codon, and T loops). Further hydrogen bonds mediate the characteristic L-shaped molecular structure. tRNAs have two regions of fundamental functional importance: the anti-codon, which is responsible for specific mRNA codon recognition, and the 3' end, to which the tRNAs corresponding amino acid is attached (by aminoacyl-tRNA synthetases). tRNAs cope with the degeneracy of the genetic code in two manners: having more than one tRNA (with a specific anti-codon) for a particular amino acid; and 'wobble' base-pairing, i.e. permitting non-standard base-pairing at the 3rd anti-codon position. Lineage: Bacteria; Bacillati; Bacillota; Bacilli; Caryophanales; Paenibacillaceae. The record is from Rfam by way of RNAcentral.
GCCGGGGUGGCGGAAUUGGCAGACGCACAGGACUUAAAAUCCUGGGUUGGGUGACCAACGUACGGGUUCAAGUCCCGUCCUCGGCA